UCAGGCCUAACACAUGCAAGUCGAGCGGAAACGAGUUAACUGAACCUUCGGGGAACGUUAACGGCGUCGAGCGGCGGACGGGUGAGUAAUGCCUGGGAAAUUGCCCUGAUGUGGGGGAUAACCAUUGGAAACGAUGGCUAAUACCGCAUAAUAGCUUCGGCUCAAAGAGGGGGACCUUCGGGCCUCUCGCGUCAGGAUAUGCCCAGGUGGGAUUAGCUAGUUGGUGAGGUAAGGGCUCACCAAGGCGACGAUCCCUAGCUGGUCUGAGAGGAUGAUCAGCCACACUGGAACUGAGACACGGUCCAGACUCCUACGGGAGGCAGCAGUGGGGAGUAUUGCACAAUGGGCGCAAGCCUGAUGCAGCCAUGCCGCGUGUAUGAAGAAGGCCUUCGGGUUGUAAAGUACUUUCAGCAGUGAGGAAGGUGGUAGUGUUAAUAGCACUAUCAUUUGACGUUAGCCGCAGAAGAAGCACCGGCCAACUCCGUGCCAGCAGCCGCGGUAAUACGGAGGGUGCGAGCGUUAAUCGGAAUUACUGGGCGUAAAGCGCAUGCAGGUGGUUUGUUAAGUCAGAUGUGAAAGCCCGGGGCUCAACCUCGGAAUUGCAUUUGAAACUGGCAGACUAGAGUACUGUAGAGGGGGGUAGAAUUUCA
RNAcentral lists this ribosomal RNA (650 nucleotides) under uncultured bacterium. RNAcentral describes it as "bacterial SSU rRNA". It matches the Rfam family "Bacterial small subunit ribosomal RNA", at positions 42 to 671 of the family's 1533-position model. The record is from RNAcentral.